RNAcentral lists this ribosomal RNA (653 nucleotides) under Microbacterium sp. RNAcentral describes it as "bacterial SSU rRNA". It matches the Rfam family "Bacterial small subunit ribosomal RNA", at positions 186 to 853 of the family's 1533-position model. The record is from RNAcentral. Lineage: Bacteria; Bacillati; Actinomycetota; Actinomycetes; Micrococcales; Microbacteriaceae.
GCAUGGUCUGCGUCUGGAAAGAAUUUCGGUUGGGGAUGGGCUCGCGGCCUAUCAGCUUGUUGGUGAGGUAAUGGCUCACCAAGGCGUCGACGGGUAGCCGGCCUGAGAGGGUGACCGGCCACACUGGGACUGAGACACGGCCCAGACUCCUACGGGAGGCAGCAGUGGGGAAUAUUGCACAAUGGGCGCAAGCCUGAUGCAGCAACGCCGCGUGAGGGAUGACGGCCUUCGGGUUGUAAACCUCUUUUAGCAGGGAAGAAGCGAAAGUGACGGUACCUGCAGAAAAAGCGCCGGCUAACUACGUGCCAGCAGCCGCGGUAAUACGUAGGGCGCAAGCGUUAUCCGGAAUUAUUGGGCGUAAAGAGCUCGUAGGCGGUUUGUCGCGUCUGCUGUGAAAUCCGGAGGCUCAACCUCCGGCCUGCAGUGGGUACGGGCAGACUAGAGUGCGGUAGGGGAGAUUGGAAUUCCUGGUGUAGCGGUGGAAUGCGCAGAUAUCAGGAGGAACACCGAUGGCGAAGGCAGAUCUCUGGGCCGUAACUGACGCUGAGGAGCGAAAGGGUGGGGAGCAAACAGGCUUAGAUACCCUGGUAGUCCACCCCGUAAACGUUGGGAACUAGUUGUGGGGUCCAUUCCACGGAUUCCGUGACGCAGCU